Molecule: ribosomal RNA, 253 nt
Filed under: uncultured bacterium
Lineage: Bacteria
Description: partial 16S ribosomal RNA
Rfam family: Bacterial small subunit ribosomal RNA
Source: RNAcentral
UACGAAGGGGGCUAGCGUUGUUCGGAAUUACUGGGCGUAAAGCGCGCGCAGGCGGUCCUUCAAGUCAGAGGUGAAAGCCCAGAGCUCAACUCUGGAACGGCCUUUGAGACUAGAGGACUUGGGUACGGGAGAGGUGAGUGGAAUUCCGAGUGUAGAGGUGAAAUUCGUAGAUAUUCGGAAGAACACCAGUGGCGAAAGCGGCUCACUGGCCCGUUACCGACGCUCAGGCGCGACAGCGUGGGGAGCAAACAGG